RNAcentral lists this ribosomal RNA (234 nucleotides) under uncultured bacterium. RNAcentral's name for it is "partial 16S ribosomal RNA". It matches the Rfam family "Bacterial small subunit ribosomal RNA", at positions 100 to 334 of the family's 1533-position model. The record is from RNAcentral.
CGGGACGGGUGAGUAAUGUCUGGGAAACGUGCCUGAUGGAGGGGGGUAACUACUGGAAACGGUAGCUAAUACCGCAUAACGUCGCAAGACCAAAGAGGGGGACCUUCGGGCCUCUUGCCAUCGGAUGUGCCCAGAUGGGAUUAGCUAGUAGGUGGGGUAACGGCUCACCUAGGCGACGAUCCCUAGCUGGUCUGAGAGGAUGACCAGCCACACUGGAACUGAGACACGGUCCAG